This 427-nucleotide ribosomal RNA is filed under the name uncultured bacterium. Its description in RNAcentral is "partial 16S ribosomal RNA". It matches the Rfam family "Bacterial small subunit ribosomal RNA", at positions 355 to 774 of the family's 1533-position model. The record is from RNAcentral.
UGGGGAAUAUUGGACAAUGGGCGAAAGCCUGAUCCAGCCAUGCCGCGUGUGUGAAGAAGGUCUUCGGAUUGUAAAGCACUUUAAGUUGGGAGGAAGGGCAUUAACCUAAUACGUUAGUGUUUUGACGUUACCGACAGAAUAAGCACCGGCUAACUCUGUGCCAGCAGCCGCGGUAAUACAGAGGGUGCAAGCGUUAAUCGGAAUUACUGGGCGUAAAGCGCGCGGAGGUGGUUUGUUAAGUUGGAUGUGAAAUCCACGGGCUCAACCUGGGAACUGCAUUCAAAACUGACUGACUAGAGUAUGGUAGAGGGUGGUGGAAUUUCCUGUGUAGCGGUGAAAUGCGUAGAUAUAGGAAGGAACACCAGUGGCGAAGGCGACCACCUGGACUAAUACUGACACUGAGGUGCGAAAGCGUGGGGAGCAAACA